RNAcentral lists this ribosomal RNA (406 nucleotides) under uncultured bacterium. RNAcentral describes it as "partial 16S ribosomal RNA". It matches the Rfam family "Bacterial small subunit ribosomal RNA", at positions 30 to 526 of the family's 1533-position model. The record is from RNAcentral.
AUUGAACGCUGGCGGCAGGCCUAACACAUGCAAGUCGAACGAGUGGCGGACGGGUGAGUAAUGUCUGGGAAACUGCCCGAUGGAGGGGGAUAACUACUGGAAACGGUAGCUAAUACCGCAUACCAUCGGAUGUGCCUAGAUGGGAUUAGCUAGUAGGUGGGGUAACGGCUCACCUAGGCGACGAUCCCUAGCUGGUCUGAGAGUAUGACCGGCCACCAUGGAACUGAGACACGGUCCCGACUCAUACGGGAGGCAGCAGUGGGGAAUAUUGCAGAGUGGGCGCAAGCCUGAUGCAGCAAUACCGCGUGUAUGAAGAAGGCGUGCGGGUUGUAAAGUGCUUUCAGCGAGGAGGCGUUACUCGAAGAAGAAGCACCGGCUAACUCCGUGCCAGCAGCAGCGGUAAUAC